This 253-nucleotide ribosomal RNA is filed under the name uncultured bacterium. RNAcentral describes it as "partial 16S ribosomal RNA". It matches the Rfam family "Bacterial small subunit ribosomal RNA", at positions 524 to 776 of the family's 1533-position model. The record is from RNAcentral.
UACAGAGGUCCCAAGCGUUGUUCGGAUUCACUGGGCGUAAAGGGUGCGUAGGCGGUCGGGUAAGUCUGACGUGAAAUCUCCAAGCCUAACUUGGAAACUGCAUUGGAUACUAUCCGGCUCGAGGAAUGGAGGGGAGACUGGAAUACUUGGUGUAGCAGUGAAAUGCGUAGAUAUCAAGUGGAACACCAGUGGCGAAGGCGAGUCUCUGGACAUUUCCUGACGCUGAGGCACGAAAGCCAGGGGAGCAAACGGG